UGUGGGAGCGAGCCUGCUCGCGAUGACGGCAGGACAGUCAAUGAUGUAUUGACUGUCAGGUCGCAAUCGCGAGCAGGCUCGCUCCCACA
This 89-nucleotide small RNA is filed under the name Pseudomonas sp. 43mfcvi1.1. Lineage: Bacteria; Pseudomonadati; Pseudomonadota; Gammaproteobacteria; Pseudomonadales; Pseudomonadaceae. The record is from RNAcentral.